AAGUCGUAACAAGGUUUCCGUAGGUGAACCUGCGGAAGGAUCAUUACCAAAUGCUUCCACAACCCAUCCACACUUGUGCACCGUCCGACUGACCUGGCGUAUGCCGUCCGGGCCCAGCGCCCGCACGACGCGCCAACAUUAUAUCAACAACAACAUCAUAACCCCAUAUCCAGCCUUACCAGAUGCAGUGUGGUGACUGCAACAAAACUAGAAAACAACUUUUAGCAACGGAUCUCUAGGCUCUU
RNAcentral lists this unclassified non-coding RNA (245 nucleotides) under fungal sp. Its description in RNAcentral is "partial internal transcribed spacer region". The stretch from base 1 to 46 matches the Rfam family "Eukaryotic small subunit ribosomal RNA", at positions 1786 to 1831 of the family's 1831-position model. The record is from RNAcentral. Lineage: Eukaryota; Fungi.